UAGCAGGUCGUGCUGAGUCAG
This 21-nucleotide unclassified non-coding RNA is filed under the name Mus musculus (house mouse). RNAcentral's name for it is "oocyte_clustered_small_RNA1981". Lineage: Eukaryota; Metazoa; Chordata; Mammalia; Rodentia; Muridae. The record is from RNAcentral.